CCUACGGGAGGCAGCAGUGGGGAAUAUUGGUCAAUGGGCGCAAGCCUGACCCAGCAACGCCGCGUGAAGGAAGAAGGCUUUCGGGUUGUAAACUUCUUUUCUCAGGGACGAAGAGAGUGACGGUACCUGAGGAAUAAGCCACGGUUAAAUACGUGCCUGCAGUCCGGGCAAUACGUAGGUGGCAAUCGUUAACCGGAUUUAUGUGGUGUAAAGGGCGUGUAGGCGGGAGCGCAAGUCAGACGUGAAAAUUCAGGGCUCAAACCUGAGCCUGCAUUUGAAACUGUGUUUCUUGAGUGCUGGAGAGGCACUCGGAAUGCCGGGUGUAGCGGUGAAAUGCGUAGAUAUACGGAGGAACACCAGUGGCGAAGGCGGAUUGCUGGACAGUAACUGACGCUGAGGCGCGAAAGCGUGGGGAGCAAACAGGAUUAGAUACCCCUGUAGUC
RNAcentral lists this ribosomal RNA (443 nucleotides) under uncultured bacterium. RNAcentral describes it as "partial 16S ribosomal RNA". It matches the Rfam family "Bacterial small subunit ribosomal RNA", at positions 338 to 795 of the family's 1533-position model. The record is from RNAcentral.